Non-coding RNA from Arachis ipaensis, 369 nucleotides. The record is from RefSeq and is a predicted model, not a curated record. NCBI's taxonomy places the organism in Eukaryota, Viridiplantae, Streptophyta, Magnoliopsida, Fabales, Fabaceae.
GAAAUUAAAGCUGUUGCUGCUAUUAGAUUUGUGGUUGAUGCUGUUAUCCUCGCGUUAGAACCUAGAGGGUUGCUGCAUUUCCAAUUUUGUGUGGUUAAUGCGACAUCGAGUGACACAGGUUUGAAGAUGCAAUAUGAAGCUGCAAGCAAUUAGUAGGCCUUCUUUACGAUUUUAAUUGCUUUCAUAGAGUCCCCUUGCUGUUGUCCCUUGAGAUUUUAUUUUACAUAGAGGGGUAGGUUUAGUAUAUUGUAUUUGAGUUUUAUUUGGUUUCUUUUGUAUUAAGAGUUAUUAUUAAUAAUAUUUAUGUGAUUAUUAUUUGUUGGAAAUCUUUGAAACAUGACUUUACUGAAUAAAUACAAAAUUUUCUGG